UGUUUUGUUGUGUUGGAUG
This 19-nucleotide microRNA is filed under the name Xenopus laevis (African clawed frog). RNAcentral describes it as "xla-miR-5196". Lineage: Eukaryota; Metazoa; Chordata; Amphibia; Anura; Pipidae. The record is from RNAcentral.